AGCUCCAAUAGCGUAUAUUAAAGUUGUUGUGGUUAAAAAGCUCGUAGUUGGAUCUCGGCGGUCUGAGGGCGGUUCGCUUGAUUGAGUGCUACUGCUCUAUAGGCCGUGGUUUUGCCAGAGGUCUCGGGGUGCUCUUAACCGAGUGUCCUGCGAUGCUGGCAGGUUUACUUUGAAAAAAUUAGAGUGCUCAAAGCAGGCUUUUACGCCUGAAUAUUCGUGCAUGGAAUAAUAGAAUAGGAAGUCGUUUCUAUUUUGUUGGUUUGCGGAAAUCGACAUUUGUAUUCAAACGACAGAGGUGAAAUUCUUGGACCGUUUGAAGACAAACUACUGCGAAAGCAUUUGCCAAGAAUGUUUUCA
This 357-nucleotide ribosomal RNA is filed under the name marine copepod environmental sample. RNAcentral's name for it is "SSU rRNA". It matches the Rfam family "Eukaryotic small subunit ribosomal RNA", at positions 587 to 972 of the family's 1831-position model. Lineage: Eukaryota; Metazoa; Arthropoda; Copepoda. The record is from RNAcentral.